AUGGAAUCGAGCAAUGAGCAAGCAUCAGGAAUUGUCGAGGCAAAUCUCAACAAUGAACAAGAGCACAAUGAUGAGGGCAUGGAAGAAACGGAGGAUUAUAGUUUCGAUGGAGAAGAAUAUCGGCACUUCGUACCGCGAGGAAGAGGUAGCUUCAGGGGUCGUGGCAGAGGUGGUUUUGAUUUCCCGAUGAGAGGCGGUCCUCCAAGGUUUCGAGGCAGAGGCUUUGGUCCAAGGGGUCCGAUGUUCCGUGGGGCUAACAAUGGAUAUCCGUUUGAGGGUCCACCACGACCAAACUGUCCACCUGGUCCAGCUGGUCCACGUUUUAGAGGGCCUCCACCAUUUGAUCCAAGCUGGGGACCUAUGGGACCACCUAACAUAAUGGGACCACCAAAUCUUAUGGGACCACCAGGAAUGCCACCACCGCAUAUGAUGAAUGGUCCCAUUGGGACAGGACCGGGACCGUAUGGGCCACCUCCUGGAAUGGGACCACCCAAUAUGAAUAGCAUUCCAGGUCAACAACAAAACCAGCAGCAACAGAGUCAACCACAAGCAAACAUUCCAGGACUUGAUCUUAAUGGAGAAGUUUGGGUAGAAACUAAAACACCAGAUGGGAAGUCAUAUUAUUAUAAUAUUCGAUCUAGAGAGACAACAUGGACAAAGCCUGAGGGAUCAAAUGUAAAAGUCAUGGUGCAAGAUCAGCUAGAACAAUUAGUACAUGGGGCAUCAAAGCAAACAGCCCGUGCUACCACGCCUACUUCCACACCUACUACUCCAACACAAGUUAAUGAAAAUAGAGUAUCUCAAAGUAAUGAACAGUCCUCCUCUAAUAAUGCAGAUGCAUUGAAUCAGAUGAGUACUGCACCUCCAGGUACAGGACCACCACCUUCUCUGAAUGAUGCUCCAGAUGUCAGUACACAAGCAUCAGAUUCAAAUCAAACUAAUGGAUCAGUACCUGCAACAGUUGCAAAUGCACCAACGAUAAAUACAUCAACCAUAAAUACGAAUAUAAUGCAGCCACCACCAAAUAUGAUGCCAAUGCAACAUAGAAUGCCCAAUCAGUUUGGUGGUCCAAUUCCAACUCAAUUUGGUACAGCUCCAUUUGGCAUGCCACCACCAGGAUUUCAACCAUUUGGUGGUUAUGGUCCACCACAGACAAAUUGGGGUAUGCCACAAAUGCCACAUGGUGUAAUGACUUCCCAAGCUCCUGCCGAAGAUCCAGCUAUAUUAGCACAACUUGAUUCUGAAUUAGUUGCAUCAGCCAUGAUUUGGACAGAGCACCGUGCUCCAGAUGGUAGACUAUAUUAUUAUAAUAGUAAAGCAGGAGAAUCUGUGUGGGAAAAACCACAGGCAUUGAAAGACUUAGAAAAUGCAAAAUUAGCACUUCGGCAAAAAGCAGAAGAGGUAUCAACUACCACUUCUACCACUACUGCAACUACCUCCAGUACCAGUAAUAAUAAAAGCCCUUCUGAAGUUAAUAAGCAAGAAGUAAAACAAGAGAGUACUCAUGAUACCAAAGAUAAUGCAAAAGAAACUGAAGCUAAACCCAAGAAAGAAGAGACAUCUUCGAAGGAAGCAGUUAAACCUCAGGAUAAAUCUAGACCAAUAUCCAGUACACCCGUACCAGGAACACCAUGGUGUGUCGUAUGGACUGGUGAUGGACGUGUCUUUUUUUAUAAUCCCUCGUCAAGAAUUUCUGUAUGGGAAAGACCAGAUGACCUUAUCGGCCGUCAAGACGUGGAUAAGAUGACAUCUACGCCACCAGAUGCAGUCGGAACACCAAAACCUAUACGGCAGUCGGAUACAAGUGAAAGUAGUGACGAUGAUCAACCAACUCCAGCUAAGAAAAUUAAACAAGAAGAGCCUAAACCUGCUACCGUAAAAGAGGAAGAGGACAAGGAUGGUAAGAAAACGAUCGACAUUGGGAAGGAAGCAGCGAUCGAAGCUGAAGUGAGAGCAGCGAGAGAAAGGGCGAUUGUUCCGCUUGAAACUAGGAUUAAAUCGUUUAGAGAUAUGCUUGCAGAGAAGGAUGUAUCGGCAUUUAGCACAUGGGAAAAAGAGCUUCAUAAAAUCGUGUUCGAUCCACGUUACUUGCUUUUAACGUCCAAAGAAAGGAAGCAGGUUUUUGAAAAGUAUGUGAAGGAAAGAGCGGAGGAAGAAAGACGUGAAAAAAGAAAUAAAAUGAAAGAACGUAAAGAACAAUUUCAAAAACUUUUGGAAGAAGCUAAUCUUCAUGGGAAAUCAUCAUUUAGUGAUUUUGCACAAAAGCAUGGGCGUGACGAACGAUUUAAGAAUGUGGAAAAGAUGCGUGAACGGGAAAGCCUCUUCAACGAGUAUCUUCUGGAAGUCCGAAAAAGGGAAAAAGAGGAGAAAACCGCCAAGCGAGAGCAGGUGAAAAAGGAAUUCAUAGCAAUGCUACGUGAGCACAAAGACAUUGACAGACAUUCGCACUGGAGUGACUGUAAGAAAAAAUUGGAAUCUGAUUGGAGGUACAGAGUCGUAGAAUCAGCAACCACUAGAGAAGAUUGGUUUAGAGACUAUAUUCGUAUUCUGAAGGAGGAAAGGAAAAAGGAAAAGGAGAAAGAUAAAGAUCAUCGGCACAGAGAUAAAGACCAUCAUAAAUCAGAGAAGAAGGACAGGGAUCGGAAGGAUGUGGAUAAGUAUAAAGAAAAAUCUAAGGACAAAUCUGAUAAGGAUAAUAAGGAAAAGAAACAGAAACGAACAGAUACUGGAACUGAAGAAAAUGGCAAGGAGAAAAAGGAAACGGUUGAGAAAGAAAGCGGAGAGUUAGAAGAAAGUGAUGAAAAAAAUACAAAAAAAGAAAAUGAUAAGGAAGAAGGUGAUGAUCAUUCCGAUUCCGAGGAAGAUCGCGAGAAACAGAAGCGAGAACGCGAAAGAAGGGCAGAGGCAAGUUUACGAGAAAGAGAAAGAGAAGUACAGAGAACAUUGGCUACACAUCUUCGAGAUCGUGACAAAGAAAGACAGCAUCAUCGCCAUACGGAAGCUGUUCAACAUUUUAGUGCACUUCUUGCUGAUCUGGUGAGAAACGGUGAUCUUGCGUGGAGAGAAGCGAAACGACAAUUGAGGAAGGAUCAUAGAUGGGAAUUAGCGGAGAGUUUAGAUCGUGAAGAAAAGGAACGAUUGUUUAAUGAACAUAUCGAACAACUUGGUCGAAAAAAGCGAGAUAAAUUUAGAGAGGUUUUAGAUGAAGUAGGUGCUUCGACCGAACUAACAGCAUCUUGGAGAGAUAUUAAAAAAUUAUUAAAAGAUGAUCCUAGAUAUAUUAAAUUCUCAUCUAGUGAUCGGAAAUGUGAAAAAGAAUUUAAAGAAUACAUAAAGGAUAAACUUGUUGCGGCUAAAGCAGAUUUUAGAGAACUCCUGCAGGAAACAAAGUUGAUUACCGAUAAGACGUAUAAAAAGGUGCAAGAAAAUAGUGCUUGCCUAGCCGAAAUCGAAGAAAUUUUGAGGAAGGAUCGACGUUUUCUCGUAUUAGAAGCGGCAGCUGCUGAACGAACGCGACUAUUAAUGGGAUAUUUGGAAGAAUUAGCACGAAGAGGACCACCUCCACCUCCCACAGCAUCUGAACCAUCAAGAAGACCAACCACGAAUUAAAACAUUUGAAUCAACAAGUGAAAACAUAAAUGUGGUGCCCAAAAAGAAAAUGAGUUAUUGAAUCUAUUGCUAUAGUUGGAUUGAAGUACUUUACACGCAAGGUGAUAAUCGUAUGUAAUUAUAGGUAUCAAUAAAAUAACACCAAUUCCACACAGUUAAACGUGUGCCGUGUUAUACAGAGUACUAAGUUACAAUCUGACUUAUCCGUUGAGAAUCAUAUAAGGCAAAAAAGUGUAUUAUGAAAAUAAAUACAUAGGCAAAACUUUAGAAUGCAUGAGAUGAACACUCAACUCAGCUGUGUGCGUUUGAAAUUGUGUAACUGAUGAUAAUUUAUUAAUUAUUUAUGUUAGAAAAUAAUUUCUUUAAAGAAACGUGUACCAUAAGGCAAUUUAUGACAAUCAGAUGAGGUAUAUUUUUUAAACGCACGAUUAUAGAAGAUCUUUCAAAAAGUUAAGUUAUUUGAACCAGUUAUACAAACACAGCGUAAUAAAUGUAAGUAUAUGAUAAAAAAAAGAUUAAAAAA
This is an RNA transcript of Vespa mandarinia (Asian giant hornet), 4132 nucleotides long. It is a transcript of the gene named transcription elongation regulator 1, with no coding region annotated. Lineage: Eukaryota; Metazoa; Arthropoda; Insecta; Hymenoptera; Vespidae. The record is from RefSeq and is a predicted model, not a curated record.